UACGUAGGGGGCAAGCGUUGUUCGGAAUUACUGGGCGUAAAGGGCGCGUAGGCGGCACGGCAAGUCAGGAGUGAAAGCCCUGGGCUCAACCCAGAAACUGCUUUUGAAACUGCCGAGCUAGAGUGCGGAAGGGGCAACUGGAAUUCCCAGUGUAGCGGUGAAAUGCGUAGAUAUCAGGAGGAACACCGAUGGCGAAGGCAGGUCUCUGGGCCGAUACUGACGCUGAGGAGCGAAAGCGUGGGGAGCGAACAGG
This 253-nucleotide ribosomal RNA is filed under the name uncultured bacterium. RNAcentral's name for it is "partial 16S ribosomal RNA". It matches the Rfam family "Bacterial small subunit ribosomal RNA", at positions 524 to 776 of the family's 1533-position model. The record is from RNAcentral.